Molecule: RNA transcript, 2047 nt
Organism: Oncorhynchus kisutch (coho salmon)
Lineage: Eukaryota; Metazoa; Chordata; Actinopteri; Salmoniformes; Salmonidae
Gene name: tetraspanin-3
Exons: 8
Source: RefSeq, a predicted model, not a curated record
CACUGAUCCAUAUGUAUGUAUUAUGAUACAAACACUGCUAGCACAGAUAGAACAGUUAGUUAUAAAAAAUAUUUGCUGAUAAAAUGAGUUGAGGUUGCAACAUCGGGUCACAUGACCUCCAACUGGUUGGUUUUUGUGGUGCUGGCGCUCCGGUGUGUGUGAGUCAGAGAAUCUACUCCAGUCGGGCAUGGAUUACAAACGCAGGGGUAUAUAGCCAGCCAUUUUGCAAAUACGUUUUUACCAUAAUAAUAGACAAUACCUGUUUUAAACAUGGGGCAGUGUGGUAUCACCUCAUCAAAGACGGUUCUGGUUUUUCUGAACUUAAUUUUUUGGGACGAAAGCCACUGCCUGCCCUGCAGUCUACCCCAUUGAACCUUUUUAAAAUGCCACUUCUCAUACAAUACUAGCCUGGUAGCCACCAGACAGUGCACCACUAUCAAACAGGCAGCAGCAGGGAUUUUGUGCUAUGUUGGAGCCUACGUGUUCAUCACGUAUGAUGACUACGACCACUUCUUUGAAGAUGUGUACACCCUUAUCCCUGCUGUGACCAUAAUUGCAGUAGGAGGCCUCCUUUUCAUCAUCGGUCUUAUUGGAUGUUGUGCCACAAUACGAGAAAGCCACUAUGGGCUUGCAGCGUUUGUCGUCCUUCUCCUGCUGGUGUUUGUGACGGAAGUGCUUGUGGUGGUUUUUGGUUAUAUUUAUAGGUCAAAGGUUGAAGAUGAGGUCAAUCACUCGAUCCAGAAGGUGUACAAUGAGUACAAUGGCACCAACACAGAUGCUCCGAGCCGUGCCAUUGACUACGUGCAAAGACAGCUCCACUGUUGUGGGAUUCACAAUUACUCCGACUGGAGGAACACGCGCUGGUUUAAUGAGUCUCGAAACAACAGUAUACCAGUGAGCUGCUGCAAACCUAACGUCAGCAACUGUACAGGCUCUCUAGCCCAUCCUGGAGACCUCUAUCCAGAGGGUUGUGAAGCCCUUGUUGUGAAGAAACUAAAGGAGAUUAUUAUGUAUGUCAUCUGGGCUGCACUGACAUUCGCUGCAAUUCAGGUAUUUGGGAUGCUGUGUGCCUUUGUUGUGCUGUGCCGGAGGAGCCGUGACCCUGCCUAUGAACUUCUCAUGACGGGGGGAACCUACGCAUAAGGACCCUACACUCUCACACCACACCACACCACACACACACACACACACACACACACACACACACACACACACACACACACACACACCUAGGCUCGUGGCUUUGUCAGUGGAGAGUGGUUCACUGGCUUGCCCAAGUUCAGGUCUCUACUGUAAGCUGAAAAUCUCCUCUCACACAGAGUGGCUCAUACUCCACAAUGGUGAAGUGGUGAAAAACCUAUUUAUUUACAUGCUAUGUAAGUUGAUGUUUUGUUUUAGGUGUCUUAUUAAAAACGCUACAAGCCAAAUUCUAAAAUGGCGAUUUAAACACGUUUUUUGUUUAAUUUGUUGCUCUGACUACUUACCCCUUUGUUGUUUGAGGUAGACAAGGAUGUGAAUGAUGGACCUACUGUACGGAAUAAGUGGACUGAAUACUUUCCUCAUGUCUGUUUGCACUGUGUAUGGCCUUGGAAUAUUUUAUAACUAUUUAAAUCUAUCAUGUAAAUAACUGAGUUGAAGAUUUCCUUGUAUGAGGUUGCCUUGUGCUACUGCUUUGUUUGUGUCCAGAUCUCACCCUUCAACAGCACCAUUCUGUUUCUGAUAAGAAGCAGUAGAACUAUAGACCGUAGAUUAAUUACAGGCACUGGAUCGACCCACCAGGAAUGAGCAGUAACCAAAGUGCAGUCAAUUAACUGAUCUGCUUUGUAAGAAUGUGGGCAUUUGAUUCAGUGCAUAAAACAGGCUUAUUUAGGAAUAAUCCACAUGCACUGUUACUGAGCUUUUGUUGUACUUUGUGUGGAGUUGAGCACACUAUGUAGGCCUAGUUUUAAAAUUGAUUUUAGCCAUGUACAGAAACGUAAACCAGAGAAGAAUGUAAAUAGAAUGGGGUAAAACUAACAAGGAAAUAAACUGUAUAUUCCAUCCAGAA